GUAACUAUAAUUUGGGAUACUAGUUCCAGUGUUUCUUGUACAUACAUUUCGUCACUACUUCCCCUCUACUUGAUUUCUGUUCCAGGAUUAUGUAAAGUUCCAUAUUUGGGGAUGUUAUUGACGACUUUCCCAAUGAAAAUUACAAUUUAGUUUUACGUAAGCUUUUUCUUUGGAAAUUAA
Molecule: long non-coding RNA, 180 nt
Organism: Bradysia coprophila
Lineage: Eukaryota; Metazoa; Arthropoda; Insecta; Diptera; Sciaridae
Source: RefSeq, a predicted model, not a curated record